RNAcentral lists this transfer RNA (71 nucleotides) under Enyalioides heterolepis. RNAcentral's name for it is "tRNA-Ile". The record is from RNAcentral. Lineage: Eukaryota; Metazoa; Chordata; Lepidosauria; Squamata; Hoplocercidae.
GGAAGCGUGCCCGAACAUUUAAGGAUUACUUUGAUAGAGUAAACCACAGAGGUUAAAACCCUCUCACUUCC